This is a long non-coding RNA of Cyprinus carpio (common carp), 300 nucleotides long. Lineage: Eukaryota; Metazoa; Chordata; Actinopteri; Cypriniformes; Cyprinidae. The record is from Ensembl.
GCGGUGUGAAGUGGGGAAUGAAUAGGCUGUCAGUGUGUAUGUGGAGAGUGAAAGACUGGAGGAGGGGAGACCUGCCAGUGCUGGGAGGAAGAACAAAGCCCAGCUGUCCUCGGAGAACAGCAGCAGACGAAUCCAACACAGCAAGAUGCAAACCUCUGAUCAGCACCAAAAAUAGAAAGGGUAAAAUUGAGGCUCGAUCUGACCAAUCAGGACUGGAAACUGUGUUGACUUCCCAAGUGGAACAUGAGAGAAAGAAAAAAAAGUGCUUUUGUUUUUGAUCUUCAUUCUCAGAACUGUCAG